Molecule: ribosomal RNA, 338 nt
Filed under: uncultured eukaryote
Lineage: Eukaryota
Description: bacterial SSU rRNA
Rfam family: Bacterial small subunit ribosomal RNA
Source: RNAcentral
CUAUGGGUUGUAAACUCCUUUUCUCGGAGAAGAAUACUGACGGUAUCCGAGGAAUAAGCAUCGGCAAAAUCUGUGCCAGCAGCCGCGGUAAGACAGGUGAUGCAAGUGUUAUCCGGAAUGAUUGGGCGUAAAGCGUCUGUAGGUGGUUUAUCCAGUCUGUUGUUAAAACUUAGGGCUUAACCCUAAUCCGGCAACAGAAACUAAUAGACUAGAGUACGGUAGGGGCAGAGGGAAUUCUCGGUGUAGUGGUGAAAUACGUAGAUAUCGAGAAGAACACCAAUAGCGAAAGCACUCUGCUGGGCCGAAACUGACAUUCAGAGACGAAAGCUAGGGGAGCG